RNAcentral lists this ribosomal RNA (326 nucleotides) under uncultured eukaryote. RNAcentral's name for it is "partial 18S ribosomal RNA". It matches the Rfam family "Eukaryotic small subunit ribosomal RNA", at positions 1470 to 1796 of the family's 1831-position model. The record is from RNAcentral.
CCCUUAGAUGUCCUGGGCCGCACGCGCGCUACACUGAUGCAUGCAACGAGUUUAUAACCUUGGCCUGAAAGGUCUGGGUAAUCUUUUGAACGUGCAUCGUGAUAGGGAUAGAUUAUUGCAAUUGUUAAUCUUGAACGAGGAAUUCCUAGUAAACGCGAGUCAUCAGCUCGCAUUGAUUACGUCCCUGCCCUUUGUACACACCGCCCGUCGCUGCUACCGAUUGAGUGGUCCGGUGAAUUAUUCGGACCGGUGGACUGUGGGGAAACCCGCGGCCUGCUGGGAAGUCUUGUGAACCUUAUCACUUAGAGGAAGCAGAAGUCGUAACA